UGGCCCUACGGGGGGCAGCAGUAGGGAAUCUUCCACAAUGGACGAAAGUCUGAUGGAGCAACGCCGCGUGAGUGAAGAAGGGUUUCGGCUCGUAAAGCUCUGUUGGUAGUGAAGAAAGAUAGAGGUAGUAACUGGCCUUUAUUUGACGGUAAUUACUUAGAAAGUCACGGCUAACUACGUGCCAGCAGCCGCGGUAAUACGUAUGUGGCAAGCGUUGUCCGGAAUUACUGGGUGUAAAGGGGGCGCAGGCGGGAAGACCAAUCAG
Molecule: ribosomal RNA, 265 nt
Filed under: uncultured bacterium
Lineage: Bacteria
Description: partial 16S ribosomal RNA
Rfam family: Bacterial small subunit ribosomal RNA
Source: RNAcentral